ACGAUGAGCACGGUUUCGUUAGUACUGCUUCGGCGUGGAAAACGGGAUCGGGUUGAUCGUGUCGGGCACGUUGUUGGGUGUCUGAGGGUACGGCCGGUUGUGGCUGUCCUUCUGAUCCGGCCCCAGUGAACUCAUCCGGUUUCGGGUGGGGUGGUGGGUGGCUGGUCGUUGUUUGUAACUGCACAGUGGACGCGAGCAUCUGUGGCCAAGUUUUUAAGGGCGCAGGUGGAUGCCUUGGCACCAGGAACCGAUGAAGGACGUGGGGGCAAGAUAAGCGAACGAGCGCCCCCCCUUCCGUCUUAAACAACCUACAAGGGAAAAGGACACUGUCCUCCCCUUCGCUGUGCAGGUGGCUUAGAAUCAUACGAUUUCCAAGCGACUGUCGAUUUGCAAAUGGUGAAUGAACAACUCAUGCUCUUUUGUCAUCGUCAAGGCACAUCUUCCUCAUCGA
RNAcentral lists this unclassified non-coding RNA (451 nucleotides) under Streptomyces sp. Its description in RNAcentral is "partial 16S-23S ribosomal RNA intergenic spacer". The record is from RNAcentral. Lineage: Bacteria; Bacillati; Actinomycetota; Actinomycetes; Kitasatosporales; Streptomycetaceae.